GUGGUAAUGAUGAUAGAGGCCCAACAAUAGACAAGCACUGAGGGUUGACCUUAGGUGGUAACUACCGACUGGAUUAUCGAGUGAAUAUAGAAGAGAGGACCAACCUAAGGAAGUCAGGUGACUAGAAGAAAGGAGGUUGGAUGAUUGUGUUAAAGAGGUUGGAUGUCUGACUAAGGAAUGCAGAUCAACUUUGCAUAUCAAGAAUAUAAGUGUGAUCAAGGAAGAAAAUGAUCUCCAUAGGUACAGGGAUUUACUAGUAAUUAAUUUUUAUCAGUCCCCAAAUUAUAGGAGUAGAUUAAGCCAAUCUUGUAUCUCUAUAAUUUCUAAUUAUAUUCUUCUAGCGUGUAUAUUUAAACUGAUAAAGUGAAUAAGAAUGGGUAAAAGAUUUCAUAUCAUAGUUCUUUUCUUGUUAAGGUUGGUCGCUUCCUCAUUGAGCUUGCAAGGUUCCUAGCUCCCUCAUUGAGCUUGCAAGGUUAGUGCUUCCUUAUAGAGUUCGCAUUCGGGCACCAUAAGUUAGGGAAAGAACAAGUCGAAGUUCCCUUUUGUUUAAAAUCAUCCCUUGAUGCGAUCCAUAACCUUGGCCAGGACUAUAUCAUUGUCCCUCCUCACCCUCCAAGUAAUCAGCAUUUUCAACUGUUUUGGUAAGAUUGUGUCAAUGAAAUGUGAGUUUGCUUUAGAUUUUUGAGGAUACAACAGUGUGCAAUUUAAGGGAACCUUCUUGGGUUCUGUUUAGAGUUUUACCUUUCUUUUUUCCUCUUUUUUAAUAAAUUUGCAUGCUUAUGUGUGUGAAUGCAAUCUCACUUUUGUUUGGGCUUUAAAUCUUGUCAAAGUGCUUAAAAGUCUUAUUUAAGAGAGAGAAGCAACUUGUGCUAGAUUGAGUGGCUAUUUAGAAAUGCCAUUAGAAACAUCGCUUUUCUUAGUUCCUACAAAAUUUUAGAAAUAAAUUUUAGGAAGAAAAGAGCUACUCUAGAUUUGUCUAGUUUGUUUUUGGGAUGUUUGAAUUUGAGAUAGAAGAGCUUGAAACUUGUUCUUAACGAGGGCCAAAAAUUAAUCAAAAGAAUUGGUCAAAUUGAAAAAAAAAAAAUGCUUCAAAGAAUUUUGGAUCUUUUCCCAAAAUCUUGGUGGUUUUGGCAAUGGUAAGCUUCUUUUUUUGUUUUUUUGUGGUCUCUAAUAAAAAACAAGAUGCCUUAUGCUGCUAUGCCAUUGAGGCACAUCCCAAACUGGUGUAGAGUUUUUAUUACAUAUGUUGAUAUUGGAGUUAGUAUGGGCUGUGGAGAAUAAUUAUGUGGAUAAAUGUUCUAACCUUAGUUAUUAAAGGAGUAAGUUCACCAAAGUGUGAAGGGGUCGCAUGCUUGUGCCAAUGAGAGGUCAAGCAUCAAACUUUGCAAGGAAAAAGAAAAAAAUGAAAAUUAAGAUCAAAGAUUUAUUUGAAAAUCAAGAUAUUAACACGUUUUAACCAAAUUGACCAAAAUUAAGAAUCUCCAUUGCAUCAGUUAUAAGCUAAUCUAACCAUUACGGGUAAAUAUUGAACAAAUAUACAUAUAACCAAAAAUAUUUACAUCCUUUGUUUGAGACAACACUUUGAAAAAUGUAUAUCUUAAAAGCAAGAUGAAUGUAGGUUUUUACAAUUUCAUACUUAGAUAUUCAACUCAUGCACUUAUUUAAAUGCAAAAUGAACAAUAAGGUGAAUCUAUACUCUCUCUCUCUAUAUAUAUAUGUUGCUAUCUUUCUUAGUUAAUUUAUUUAAGUUCUUUUGGUUUAUCAUAUGAUCAUAAUAUCACAUUUUUGGGGAUGUUAUCAUAAUUGUUUGUUUUUUAUAAAAAGUAAAGGACAUAGAGGAGCCAUAUAACCCAAAAAUAGAGUGAAAUAAUCGAAGCCAAAUGGGAAUGAGAGGAGACUUGGGGAAAGCAAUUUGUUAGGAUUCCAAAAUCUUUAGACUACAUUUUUGGCAUGUUGAUACCAUAACCUUGUAGAUUGGUAAGUUUUGAGUUUGAUAGCGGCGGCCUUUAAUGGAGGGAGAGCUCUUUGAGGUGGAAGUUGGGGAGGCAUGCCUUUCUUAGGCCUUGCAUCUUGAAGAGGCAUGCACUUAAUCAAUAAAGCAAGCUCCUGUGAGAGAUACUGCAAGAGAGAUCUUGCCUUUCACUAGCAGAGGAGUUAGGGACAAUGCUCUUUGUGCAUUGAGCCUGUAGCGUGUCUUCAAUAAAUUUGGUUGUAAUAAACCUAUUAGCAAAUUCUUUCUCAUUCAUAAGGGAUUUAAAAGGGAAAUUGAUUUCUAAGUUGAAUAUAAACCAAUCUCAUCUUUCUCUUACUCUUUCCUUGAGGUGUAUUGGUGCACAAUCUGGUACAAUUUUUAUAGUUUCAUUUGUUUCGUGAUCUUUCUUGUAUUCUAACAAUUGAUUUAGUUGGGCAUUUUUGCUUCAUGUUUGUAGAAAGAGAUGAUUC
RNAcentral lists this unclassified non-coding RNA (2442 nucleotides) under Hevea brasiliensis (rubber tree). Lineage: Eukaryota; Viridiplantae; Streptophyta; Magnoliopsida; Malpighiales; Euphorbiaceae. The record is from RNAcentral.